GUGCUCGCUUCGGUAGCACAUAUACAUAUACUAAAACUGGAAAGACAGAAAAUUAGCAUGGCCCCUGUGCAAGGAUGACAAGAAAAUUCGUGAAGCAUUCCAUAUUUUU
RNAcentral lists this small nuclear RNA (109 nucleotides) under Moschus moschiferus (Siberian musk deer). The record is from RNAcentral. Lineage: Eukaryota; Metazoa; Chordata; Mammalia; Artiodactyla; Moschidae.